This 641-nucleotide ribosomal RNA is filed under the name uncultured fungus. RNAcentral describes it as "eukaryotic LSU rRNA". The stretch from base 264 to 417 matches the Rfam family "5.8S ribosomal RNA". The record is from RNAcentral. Lineage: Eukaryota; Fungi.
CUUGGUCAUUUAGAGGAAGUAAAAGUCGUAACAAGGUCUCCGUAGGUGAACCUGCGGAAGGAUCAUUACAUAUCAUCCAGUGUGGUCGCGGCCUCCGGGUUCUUCCCGGGCGGUAGGAGGUAACACUCUUCACGCGCCACGCGUUUGAAUCCUUUUUUUACGAGCACCAUUCGUUCUCCUUCGGUGGGGCAACCUGCCGUUGGAACCAUACAAAACCUUUUUUGCAUCUAGCAUUACCUGUUCCGAUAACAAACAAUCGUUACAACUUUCAACAAUGGAUCUCUUGGCUCUGGCAUCGAUGAAGAACGCAGCGAAAUGCGAUAAGUAAUGUGAAUUGCAGAAUUCAGUGAAUCAUCGAAUCUUUGAACGCACAUUGCGCCCCUUGGUAUUCCGGGGGGCAUGCCUGUUCGAGCGUCAUUGUCACCCUCAAGCUCGGCUUGGUAUUGGGCGUUCGCCGCCAGGCGCGCCCGUAAUCUAGUGGCGGUCCGGAGCACCCUCAAGCGUAGUAGUAAUUCCCGCUUCGAGGGGUCGCCUGUGAUCCAGCCAGCAACCUUCGGGGGCUCCGCCUUCGGCCUUUCAAUGAUUGACCUCGGAUCAGGUAGGGAUACCCGCUGAACUUAAGCAUAUCAAUAAGCGGAGGA